Paracoccidioides sp. is the source of this 76-nucleotide transfer RNA. It matches the Rfam family "tRNA". Rfam says of the family: Transfer RNA (tRNA) molecules are approximately 80 nucleotides in length. Their secondary structure includes four short double-helical elements and three loops (D, anti-codon, and T loops). The record is from Rfam. Lineage: Eukaryota; Fungi; Ascomycota; Eurotiomycetes; Onygenales; Ajellomycetaceae.
GCCCGCGUGGUUUAGUGGUAGUUAAAGCCUAUCACUAGUAAUGAUAAGAUCCUCAGUUCGAUUCUGAGCGUGGGCA